This 500-nucleotide ribosomal RNA is filed under the name uncultured bacterium. RNAcentral describes it as "partial 16S ribosomal RNA". It matches the Rfam family "Bacterial small subunit ribosomal RNA", at positions 30 to 523 of the family's 1533-position model. The record is from RNAcentral.
AUUGAACGCUGGCGGCAGGCCUAACACAUGCAAGUCGAGCGGAUGACGGGAGCUUGCUCCUUGAUUCAGCGGCGGACGGGUGAGUAAUGCCUAGGAAUCUGCCUGGUAGUGGGGGACAACGUUUCGAAAGGAACGCUAAUACCGCAUACGUCCUACGGGAGAAAGCAGGGGACCUUCGGGCCUUGCGCUAUCAGAUGAGCCUAGGUCGGAUUAGCUAGUUGGUGGGGUAAUGGCUCACCAAGGCGACGAUCCGUAACUGGUCUGAGAGGAUGAUCAGUCACACUGGAACUGAGACACGGUCCGGACUCCUACGGGAGGCAGCAGUGGGGAAUAUUGGACAAUGGGCGAAAGCCUGAUCCAGCCAUGCCGCGUGUGUGAAGAAGGUCUUCGGAUUGUAAAGCACUUUAAGUUGGGAGGAAGGGCAGUAAGCUAAUACCUUGCUGUUUUGACGUUACCGACAGAAUAAGCACCGGCUAACUCUGUGCCAGCCGCCGCCGUAA